Molecule: ribosomal RNA, 254 nt
Filed under: uncultured bacterium
Lineage: Bacteria
Description: partial 16S ribosomal RNA
Rfam family: Bacterial small subunit ribosomal RNA
Source: RNAcentral
UACGUAGGUGGCAAGCGUUGUCCGGAUUUACUGGGCGUAAAGGGCGCGCAGGCGGCUGAUCAAGUCAGAUGUGAAAGCCCCGGGCUCAACCUGGGAAUAGCAUUUGGGACUGGUCGGCUAGAGUUCGGGAGAGGAGAGUGGAAUUCCCAGUGUAGAGGUGAAAUUCGUAGAUAUUGGGAAGAACACCGGUGGCGAAGGCGGCUCUCUGGACCGAUACUGACGCAUGAGGCGCGAAAGCGUGGGGAGCAAACAGG